This 57-nucleotide transfer RNA is filed under the name Cavia porcellus (domestic guinea pig). It matches the Rfam family "tRNA", at positions 8 to 63 of the family's 71-position model. Rfam says of the family: Transfer RNA (tRNA) molecules are approximately 80 nucleotides in length. Their secondary structure includes four short double-helical elements and three loops (D, anti-codon, and T loops). Lineage: Eukaryota; Metazoa; Chordata; Mammalia; Rodentia; Caviidae. The record is from Rfam by way of RNAcentral.
UAGCUCAGUGGUAGAGCAUGUGCUCUGGUACACACACGGUUCUGGGUUCAAACCCAG